UACUUGUAGGGAAUCGCGGGUUAAACC
RNAcentral lists this small RNA (27 nucleotides) under Bombyx mori (domestic silkworm). Its description in RNAcentral is "ovarian small RNA-21676". Lineage: Eukaryota; Metazoa; Arthropoda; Insecta; Lepidoptera; Bombycidae. The record is from RNAcentral.